CCACAGCUGAAGGUCAGUCCCCAAAGCUGGUUAUGGUUGAAAGGGAGGAAAAGCUGCUCCCACGUGGCUCUGGCUGAGGCUUCCGAGACUCUGCAGGUGGGGGCCGUCUGUCUUCCCCAGGUGGGAGCUACUUCUUUUUAGAAGCAGGCUCCACGGCGGUUUUCAGGUGUGGCCUUGCCCAGCGUCCCGAUGUUUUGCUUCCUGCCUGGCCUCGGCGCUCUUUGAUGACCUCCUCUUGCCACACACUGUGGUCUCCAUAGGCUGCCCACUGCUGAUCCGAGGCUGGUGGCCCCCAGCACACGUGGGUUUCUGAGGAACACGCUGAGACUCUCGGGCCAUGCCGUGACACAGGGGAGACAGCGUCUGCUCUUUUUCCAUUUUUGUUCGUUUUCAGUGCUCUGACCCUCAGGAAGCCCACUUAAGCAUCCCAGAAUCCAGACGGCCGUGAACAAAGCUGCUGUGGUUUGGGGCUGCAAAACUGGCCCACAGCCCACCUGGAUAACUGAAUCGAACAUGCCUCAGCCGCCCUCACCACAGGCACCAUCCCCCUCACAGAAGUUUGAUGUCUGAUCAUUCAGCACUGGCUGAGCCUCAGAGCUAAAAUGGAAAAUGCAUUUUAUGAGCAGAUAACACAUUUUUGGAAUGGCUACUUUAAACAUUGUGGAUACAGAUUCACAGAGACUAUUUUUAGAUGAAUUAUUUCUUCUAUUUACCAUACUGAUUUGCUGGAAGAAAGAAAAACAAUAUUUUAAAAAGGGAAAACAUUCUUUAAAAGCAGUGACUCUAAAUUUCCCCUGAAGAGCAAAAUGCUGUCUGUGUCUCACUCAAUGUGGUGGCUGCUACAGGAGGAUCUUCCCAGGCCUUCUCAGGGAAUUCCCAUCAGGAUCACAGGAAUGGUACCUGGCAGACACAACCCAGUCUGCACCUUCCAUGGGCCACAGCUGAUGGUACGAGGAGAGGUGUGACAUCUGCCUGACCUCAGCUCUGGGGGUUCCUGUGGGUGGACAGAAGGAGCCCUGGAGGCCCGGCCAGGAUGCGUCAUCUGUGGCUACCACGUGGAUUCUCUGGUGUGCUGAGUCAAGGCAGCGAUCUUCCAAGUGUGGUCGCUGUACCUCCAUCAGCACCUCCUGGGACUUGUCAGGACGCUGACCCGGGCCCCAGCCAAGUUCUGCUGCUGCCUCAGGGGGACAGAGGCAGGGCCUCACUGUCUGAUGAUCCAGCCCUGCAGGGGGCCCGCUGCACCUGCAGGUGUGAGAGCCGCCGCUGAAUUAAGGUGACUGGAAGGUUUCAGGGCAUGGGAGGGAGGUAGAUCAUUUGGGGCUGAGAAGCACUUUUGCAUCUCUUUCCUGCCCAGAAGCGACCAGAGAGGCCAGGCAUUGUCACCUGGAGACUUUGGAAAUGAAGCCCUGAGCUGAUCUAAUAAUUUCUGGCAAAUUCUAUGGGGUUGCUUCAUGAAUUAGGAAAAGCCAUAGAAACUCAAGUGUAAAUCGUGUGUUAUAUCCCAGGGCCGCGCGCUUAAUGUGGACUGUGGAGCUUGUACGCAGCCUGUCACACCCUGCCAGCCUCAAUACGGCUCUCCUUACCCCGGGCCUCUGCACGCACAUAUGAAAGGCAACCUCACCUCUGUGGCUUGCAUGGUUCAGCGAUUCAUACUGUGUUAGUAUUCCUAAUCUAUUUCUAAGUAACUUAAUUUUUCUCGAAAAUAGUAAUUUAAAAUGUUGUCCAUAUAGAUGAAUAACAAUCAGAAAACUUUCCUUAGGGAUGCUAAAACAUCAUUAAUUAGCAAUAAAACAAAUUUAAGUUUUAUGAGCUGUCGUGGCAUUUAUCAUUCUGUAAGAUUGCAAACAUAGUUUUCCAUAGAUGUCAUAAUUCAUUAAGAGAAGUGGUGAAAUUUGGAUGUGUUUGAAAGAACAAGGAACUAGAUUAAACACCCUCUGCUGCACCGCAGGGGCUGACGAGGGAAGACAUAGGUGGUGUCUGAAACGUUCUGUGGCUACAGAGUCCUCUUUCAUAUCCUUCCUUUAGGGAGAGACUCGGGAGAGACUCAGAAGAGAGGUGUUUUCCGGCAAUAGCAGAGCAUAGGAACCUCUUGAUAGACCACUGAGAUGAGUCAGCAUCGGCAGCCUGCACAGGGUGGUGGGGUGGGCUGGGGCCUCAGUGAGUGGGGUGCAGACAGGGGCUUCUCUCCACCUGCCAAGAUUCCACUCAAAUGCUGCGUCUCCCUGAAGCCCCUCCCAUCUUCACAGACCUUCAUUUAACACUUACUGAAGGGUAGAUGGUUGUAUAGCUCACUGAGGUGUCUGACUCCCUGACCAGACUGUGGGACUCUUCAGAAUGAAACAGACUUUUCCUUCUUUAUUUUCCCCGUUUCUAACUUAGUCAUGCACAGAAUAAACGCUUGGUAAGACUCUACUGAAUGAUGAUACUUCUCCAGGACGAAGGUGCCUGUGAAGAAUGGGAAGGCCUGGUGCCGUAGUGUCUUAGAUUCUGAUAUGCCACAUGUCCUGCUUAUCACCCUGAAGUCUCAAAAGAUAAUCAACUUGUUAAACACUGUGCUUUGUACCUACUUCAUUUUUUAAAGAGCUUUUAUUUUGACUGUUGGACAUCACGGUUAUUCUUCCUGAACUCAGCCCUGAUAGUGCAGUGCCCCAGUACAAGUCCCUGGCACAUUGGCCUGGAGUUUAAGGCUCUGCAUACCCCACCCGGGCAUCCUGCUUCCCCUGCACAAUCGCUUUGCUGGAUCAGUGCUAGCUGGGUCUGUCUCUCCAGCGCUUUAGAAGCCGCCCUCCUGCUGUGUCUUCGCUCAUUCUGUUCCCUUCUCCCGGUCCCCCACUGUUUGCUGCUUUGCUUUUUAUUUCUCAAGGCUCAGUUCAAAAGCCACCAUUUCCACCAAGACGUGGUGACCUCAACUGGAUUGGAGACAACGCCUCUCCCCAGCUCCUCUGGAAUAUGGUUCUGUCCUCUGAGCCUGGUAUCGGCGUCGAUGCUGUCUACAUGCGCUGCUGGCUGGUCGCCUACUGGAUGUGUCUGCCCGCUGGGGGAAGGAACCAGGCCCUGGAAUGGGAUCCUGAGUAGGAGCACAGUCUGGAUAUUCCUGCAGGAGUGAAGAGACAUUCUCAGGGCGGAUGUUGCCAGGACAAAGAAACACAAGCAACAACAAGAACAAAACUGGAGGACGCCCCUGACAUGGAUUCGGCACCCUCAUGGCCUUGUUUUAACUUAAUCAACUCUGCAACGACCCUGUCUCCAAUUUUUCAAAGAGCUAAAAGUGGAAAUACCAUUUCACUCAGGAAUCCCAUGACUCAAAGGAAAAUAAAUACUUCUAUCAAAAAGACACAUACACUCACAUGUUUAUCAUGGCACUAUUCACAACA
This 3374-nucleotide long non-coding RNA is filed under the name Homo sapiens (human). RNAcentral's name for it is "HSALNT0338687". The record is from RNAcentral. Lineage: Eukaryota; Metazoa; Chordata; Mammalia; Primates; Hominidae.